CCUACGUGGUGCAGCAGUGAGGAAUAUUGGUCAAUGGACGCAAGUCUGAACCAGCCAUGCCGCGUGCAGGAAGACGGCUCUAUGAGUUGUAAACUGCUUUUGUACGAGGGUAAACGCAGAUACGCGUAUCUGUCUGAAAGUAUCGUACGAAUAAGGAUCGGCUAACUCCGUGCCCGCAGCCGCGGUAAUACGGAGGAUUCAAGCGUUAUUCGGAUUUAUUGGGGUUAAAGGGUGCGUAGGCGGGAGGAUAAGUUAGAGGUGAAAUCCAGAGGCUCAACUUCGGAAUUGCCUCUGAUACUGUUCGGCUAGAGAGUAGUUGCGGUAGGCGGAAUGUAUGGUGUAGCGGUGAAAUGCUUAGAGAUCAGACAGAACACCGAUUGCGAAGGCAGCGUACCAGGCUACUACUGACGUUGAGGGACGAAAGCGUGGGGAGCAAACAGGAUUAGAUACCCGAGUAGUC
Molecule: ribosomal RNA, 460 nt
Filed under: uncultured bacterium
Lineage: Bacteria
Description: partial 16S ribosomal RNA
Rfam family: Bacterial small subunit ribosomal RNA
Source: RNAcentral